ACGGGGCGCCAGCCAGGGCGCCAUAUAAUUUAUCAAUGGAGCCAACUCCGAUGAGGGAAUUCCGUAGCGCUAUGUGCAUGUGCAUUUUAGCUUUUCUCAAGCGUAGAUAACCUUGAGGAAUAAGGGCUGGGGUAAGGACGGGUGCCAGCCGCCCGCGGUAAUACCCGCAGCCCAACUGGUGUUCGAUCCUAUUGAGUCAUAAAACGUUCGUAGCCGGUUUGGUAAAUCUUUGGGUAAAUCGGGAGGCUCAACUUUCCGACUUCCGAAGAGACUGCCAAACUUGGGACCGGGAGAGGCUAGAGGUACUUCUGGGGUAGGGGUAAAAUCCUGUAAUCCUAGAAGGACCACCGGUGGCGAAGGCGUCUCGCUAGAACGGAUCCGACGGUGAGGGACGAAGCCCUGGGUCGCAAACGGGAUUAGAUACCCCGGUAGUCCAGGGUGUAAACGCUGCAGACUUGGUGUUGGGGGCCCUACGGGGGCGUUCAGUGCCGGAGAGAAGUUGUUAAGACUGCUACUUGGGGAGUACGUCCGCAAGGAUGAAACUUAAAGGAAUUGGCGGGGGAGCAC
Molecule: ribosomal RNA, 567 nt
Filed under: uncultured archaeon
Lineage: Archaea
Description: bacterial SSU rRNA
Rfam family: Archaeal small subunit ribosomal RNA
Source: RNAcentral